Molecule: non-coding RNA, 126 nt
Filed under: Desulfopila aestuarii
Lineage: Bacteria; Pseudomonadati; Thermodesulfobacteriota; Desulfobulbia; Desulfobulbales; Desulfocapsaceae
Also listed under: 1 other name
Description: MoCo sequence
Rfam family: Molybdenum/Tungsten riboswitch aptamer (Moco RNA motif)
Source: RNAcentral
GCAAAACUAUAACUCCGAGCCACAAGACCUACGAUCUUUACAAAGACUAUGGUCUCCGGCCGAUAGGGUUGCACUGGAAACGGUACAACCUUCCGAUGCUCGUAAAGGAGUCCACAUGAAUGCACC